This 1605-nucleotide ribosomal RNA is filed under the name Escherichia coli. Its description in RNAcentral is "bacterial LSU rRNA". It matches the Rfam family "Bacterial large subunit ribosomal RNA", at positions 426 to 2016 of the family's 2925-position model. Lineage: Bacteria; Pseudomonadati; Pseudomonadota; Gammaproteobacteria; Enterobacterales; Enterobacteriaceae. The record is from RNAcentral.
GUGGUAUCCUGUCUGAAUAUGGGGGGACCAUCCUCCAAGGCUAAAUACUCCUGACUGACCGAUAGUGAACCAGUACCGUGAGGGAAAGGCGAAAAGAACCCCGGCGAGGGGAGUGAAAAAGAACCUGAAACCGUGUACGUACAAGCAGUGGGAGCACGCUUAGGCGUGUGACUGCGUACCUUUUGUAUAAUGGGUCAGCGACUUAUAUUCUGUAGCAAGGUUAACCGAAUAGGGGAGCCGAAGGGAAACCGAGUCUUAACUGGGCGUUAAGUUGCAGGGUAUAGACCCGAAACCCGGUGAUCUAGCCAUGGGCAGGUUGAAGGUUGGGUAACACUAACUGGAGGACCGAACCGACUAAUGUUGAAAAAUUAGCGGAUGACUUGUGGCUGGGGGUGAAAGGCCAAUCAAACCGGGAGAUAGCUGGUUCUCCCCGAAAGCUAUUUAGGUAGCGCCUCGUGAAUUCAUCUCCGGGGGUAGAGCACUGUUUCGGCAAGGGGGUCAUCCCGACUUACCAACCCGAUGCAAACUGCGAAUACCGGAGAAUGUUAUCACGGGAGACACACGGCGGGUGCUAACGUCCGUCGUGAAGAGGGAAACAACCCAGACCGCCAGCUAAGGUCCCAAAGUCAUGGUUAAGUGGGAAACGAUGUGGGAAGGCCCAGACAGCCAGGAUGUUGGCUUAGAAGCAGCCAUCAUUUAAAGAAAGCGUAAUAGCUCACUGGUCGAGUCGGCCUGCGCGGAAGAUGUAACGGGGCUAAACCAUGCACCGAAGCUGCGGCAGCGACGCUGAUGCGUUGUUGGGUAGGGGAGCGUUCUGUAAGCCUGCGAAGGUGUGCUGUGAGGCAUGCUGGAGGUAUCAGAAGUGCGAAUGCUGACAUAAGUAACGAUAAAGCGGGUGAAAAGCCCGCUCGCCGGAAGACCAAGGGUUCCUGUCCAACGUUAAUCGGGGCAGGGUGAGUCGACCCCUAAGGCGAGGCCGAAAGGCGUAGUCGAUGGGAAACAGGUUAAUAUUCCUGUACUUGGUGUUACUGCGAAGGGGGGACGGAGAAGGCUAUGUUGGCCGGGCGACGGUUGUCCCGGUUUAAGCGUGUAGGCUGGUUUUCCAGGCAAAUCCGGAAAAUCAAGGCUGAGGCGUGAUGACGAGGCACUACGGUGCUGAAGCAACAAAUGCCCUGCUUCCAGGAAAAGCCUCUAAGCAUCAGGUAACAUCAAAUCGUACCCCAAACCGACACAGGUGGUCAGGUAGAGAAUACCAAGGCGCUUGAGAGAACUCGGGUGAAGGAACUAGGCAAAAUGGUGCCGUAACUUCGGGAGAAGGCACGCUGAUAUGUAGGUGAGGUCCCUCGCGGAUGGAGCUGAAAUCAGUCGAAGAUACCAGCUGGCUGCAACUGUUUAUUAAAAACACAGCACUGUGCAAACACGAAAGUGGACGUAUACGGUGUGACGCCUGCCCGGUGCCGGAAGGUUAAUUGAUGGGGUUAGCGCAAGCGAAGCUCUUGAUCGAAGCCCCGGUAAACGGCGGCCGUAACUAUAACGGUCCUAAGGUAGCGAAAUUCCUUGUCGGGUAAGUUCCGACCUGCACGAAUGGCGUAAUGAUGGCCAGGC